CCUACGGGUGACAGCAGUAGGGAAUUUUCGGCAAUGGGGGGAACCCUGACCGAGCAACGCCGCGUGAACGAAGAAGUUAUUCGUAAUGUAAAGUUCUUUUAACAGGGAAGAAAGAGAAAUUUGACGGUACCUGAAGAAUAAGCUCCGGCUAACUACGUGCCAGCAGCCGCGGUAAUACGUAGGGAGCGAGCGUUAUCCGGAAUUAUUGGGCGUAAAGGGUGCGUAGAUGGCAUAGUAAGUCUUUUGUAAAAAUGCUGGGCUCAACCCAGUAGGGCAAAAGAUACUGCAAAGCUAGAGUAUGACAGAGGCAAGUGGAACUACAUGUGUAGCGGUGAAAUGCGUAGAUAUUAGGAAGAACACCAGUGGCGAAGGCGGCUUUCUGGACUGAAACUGACGCUGAGGCACGAAAGCGUGGGGAGCGAACAGGAUUAGAUACCCCGGUAGUC
RNAcentral lists this ribosomal RNA (446 nucleotides) under uncultured bacterium. RNAcentral's name for it is "partial 16S ribosomal RNA". It matches the Rfam family "Bacterial small subunit ribosomal RNA", at positions 338 to 795 of the family's 1533-position model. The record is from RNAcentral.